This 465-nucleotide ribosomal RNA is filed under the name Vreelandella stevensii. Its description in RNAcentral is "partial 16S ribosomal RNA". It matches the Rfam family "Bacterial small subunit ribosomal RNA", at positions 338 to 795 of the family's 1533-position model. Lineage: Bacteria; Pseudomonadati; Pseudomonadota; Gammaproteobacteria; Oceanospirillales; Halomonadaceae. The record is from RNAcentral.
CCUACGGGGGGCUGCAGUGGGGAAUAUUGGACAGUGGGCGAAAGCCUGAUCCAGCCAUGCCGCGUGUGUGAAGAAGGCCUUCGGGUUGUAAAGCACUUUCAGUGGGGAAGAAAGCCUUGGGGCUAAUACCCUCGAGGAAGGACAUCACCCACAGAAGAAGCACCGGCUAACUCCGUGCCAGCAGCCGCGGUAAUACGGAGGGUGCGAGCGUUAAUCGGAAUUACUGGGCGUAAAGCGCGCGUAGGCGGUCUGAUAAGCCGGUUGUGAAAGCCCCGGGCUCAACCUGGGAACGGCAUCCGGAACUGUCAGGCUAGAGUGCAGGAGAGGAAGGUAGAAUUCCCGGUGUAGCGGUGAAAUGCGUAGAGAUCGGGAGGAAUACCAGUGGCGAAGGCGGCCUUCUGGACUGACACUGACGCUGAGGUGCGAAAGCGUGGGUAGCAAACAGGAUUAGAUACCCUGGUAGUC